AGGAUGAACGCUGGCGGUACGUCUGACACAUGCAAGUCGAACGGGAAGGGUGGCUUCGGCUACCCCGAGAGUGGCGAACGGCUGAGUAACACGUAGGAACCUACCCCUCAGUUCGGGAUAACGGGACGAAAGCCCCGCUAAUACCGGAUAAUAUCGAAAGAUUAGAAAGGUUUACUGCUGGAGGGAGGGCCUGCGGGCUAUUAGCUUGAUGGUGGGUAACGCUCACCAUGGCGAUGAUGGCUAGC
This 245-nucleotide ribosomal RNA is filed under the name uncultured soil bacterium. RNAcentral's name for it is "partial 16S ribosomal RNA". It matches the Rfam family "Bacterial small subunit ribosomal RNA", at positions 26 to 287 of the family's 1533-position model. The record is from RNAcentral.